CUCUGCUUCAGGGCCUUACAGUCAGGUGGGAGAGAAAUUUAUAAACAUAAAAGGAUAAAGCAACAUGAAGUGGACGACUGGCAGGAAACAACUGUAAGGAAUGAAAGAAAGGGAAGGACAGUGCUGUAGGCUGGAUCUGGAAUGUCUCCCAAAGACAUGUGUGUUCAAGGACUGGUCACUGCUGGGGUGUUACUGGGAGACAGUAGAACCUUAACCACAAGGCUGCUAAGGGAAAGAAGUGAGGUCACUGCAAUUGUAUCCUUGAAGGGGAUAUUGGGUCCCCGACUCCUCCACCUUCCACCAUGAGGUGAGAGGAUGAAAUACAGCUGAGUCAAGAGGAGAAGACAAAAUGAUUUUUGCUUGGGAACACUGAGUUAAGAACAGACUGGAACCCACCACUGGGAAGCAAAGUCUACUCCCCAAGGGCACUGUCCAACUAUCAAAGCCAUGAUGCAUCAACAGCUUUGUUUACAGCCCCAGAAGACAGGGAUAGUAACUCCCUAUGGAGUAAAGGGCAGCCCAGCUGACUCCUUCCAUUCGCAGUGAGCAGUAGUCCAACCACUGGUGGACACUGUGGGGCUGUAAGAGGAGCUGGCUCUAAGAUGAAGCUGGGAUGGAAUUCAAAGCAAAAAAGAUGAGAAGGCACACUGGAAAAUGACAAUUCCCAGUCUCCCAUAAAUGUUACUGACUUCUGAAAUCACUGAAUGAAUCUGAUAUAUAGCAUUAUACCAUCACCUGACCUUGAGUGCUCUCCUGAGGUCAAGAACGUAGAAACUGAAGCAGGAAGUCCAGUGUAUACCCAAAGAGAAGCGUGAAAGAAGACCAUUUUUCCCCCCUCUGUGUACUGCAAACUUUUCUGGUUUAUAUUUUGAAAAAA
Long non-coding RNA from Fukomys damarensis (Damara mole-rat), 877 nucleotides. RefSeq lists it as uncharacterized. NCBI's taxonomy places the organism in Eukaryota, Metazoa, Chordata, Mammalia, Rodentia, Bathyergidae. The transcript is spliced from 7 exons. The record is from RefSeq and is a predicted model, not a curated record.